RNAcentral lists this non-coding RNA (674 nucleotides) under Pan troglodytes (chimpanzee). Lineage: Eukaryota; Metazoa; Chordata; Mammalia; Primates; Hominidae. The record is from RNAcentral.
CCGGUGCCGCUGUUCAUCGGGCCGCGCGGGGAAGGCGGCGGCCAAGAUGCGCUCCGUCACGUAGUGCCUGGUACUGGAUAGGAACUUCAUGGAAUGGAGCUAAUGGGCCGUAGGGCAGGUUUGAGUCGUGCCACCCUGGAGCAGAAGGUGGAGGGUAGGGAUAAGGGUGGAGAGAAACUAGGAGAAAAGCACAGGAUGUAGAGGUCUAUUCGGCAUAAUCUUCUCCCUCAUUUUCAUCUUCACCAUCAACAGAGAGAGCAGCAUACUUGCUUGCAGAACUGAACUUCUGUAACACAACGAGAGUGACAGGAUAAUGAAGGCCCUGAAUUAUCACAUCAAAACCCAAGACACAGGAUACUGAUCCUUUGGCAAUGGGGGAUGACAGUCAGAUGACACCCACUUGCUUGCUCAUCAGCAUUGUCCACUGGAGAGGAGCUAGGGAAGAGGGUCAGAGGCACAUGUGAUCUUACUAUAGUCUCAUACCACCUCUACACCUUGCAGAAGGGAUGAGAACAAAGGAAGACAGAAACCAGGAAAAAGCUAAACUUCUUCCGCUAUUUCAGAUAAAGACCAAUGUCUUAUUUCCAAACACUUUGUAUUCCAAAUGGAAAGAAGUCCAACGGCAAAAAGUUUAGAAUACUAAGAAUUUUUCUUAGAAUGAAAAAUUGGGAGCA